RNAcentral lists this transfer RNA (73 nucleotides) under Camelus bactrianus (Bactrian camel). It matches the Rfam family "tRNA". Rfam says of the family: Transfer RNA (tRNA) molecules are approximately 80 nucleotides in length. Their secondary structure includes four short double-helical elements and three loops (D, anti-codon, and T loops). RNAcentral also lists the same sequence under 1 other name. The record is from Rfam by way of RNAcentral. Lineage: Eukaryota; Metazoa; Chordata; Mammalia; Artiodactyla; Camelidae.
GAGGGUAUAGCUCAACUGGCAGAGCACGUGCUUAGCAUGCACAAGGUCCUGGGUUCAAUCCCCAGUACCUCCU